This 253-nucleotide ribosomal RNA is filed under the name uncultured bacterium. Its description in RNAcentral is "partial 16S ribosomal RNA". It matches the Rfam family "Bacterial small subunit ribosomal RNA", at positions 524 to 776 of the family's 1533-position model. The record is from RNAcentral.
UACGUAGGGGGCAAGCGUUGUCCGGAAUCAUUGGGCGUAAAGCGCGUGUAGGCGGCCAGAAAAGUCCGCUGUGAAAACUCGAGGCUCAACUUCGAGCUGUCGGUGGAAACUUUCUGGCUAGAGUCCGGAAGAGGAGAAUGGGAUUCCUGGUGUAGCGGUGAAAUGCGCAGAUAUCAGGAAGAACACCCGUGGCGAAGGCGGUUCUCUGGGACGGUACUGACGCUGAGACGCGAAAGCGUGGGGAGCGAACAGG